UGGUAAGGUGGUGACAUCUAUCUGCAUUGUUAACUCAGUGGUAAGGUGGUGACAUCUAUCUGCACUGUUAACUCAGUGGUAAGGUGGUGACAUCUAUCUGCACUGUUAACUCAGUGGUAAGGUGGUGACAUCUAUCUGCAUUGUUAACUCAGUGGUAAGGUGGUGACAUCUAUCUGCAUUGUUAACUCAGUGGUAAGGUGGUGACAUCUAUCUGCAUUGUUAACUCAGUGGUAAGGUGGUGACAUCUAUCUGCAUUGUUAACUCAGUGGUAAGG
This is a long non-coding RNA of Oncorhynchus keta (chum salmon), 274 nucleotides long. RefSeq lists it as uncharacterized. NCBI's taxonomy places the organism in Eukaryota, Metazoa, Chordata, Actinopteri, Salmoniformes, Salmonidae. The transcript has 3 exons. The record is from RefSeq and is a predicted model, not a curated record.